Molecule: ribosomal RNA, 253 nt
Filed under: uncultured bacterium
Lineage: Bacteria
Description: partial 16S ribosomal RNA
Rfam family: Bacterial small subunit ribosomal RNA
Source: RNAcentral
UACGUAGGGGGCUAGCGUUGUCCGGAAUCAUUGGGCGUAAAGCGCGUGUAGGCGGCUCGAUAAGUCCGCUCUGAAAGCCCGGGGCUCAACUCCGGGAGGCGGGUGGAUACUGUCGAGCUCGAGUCCGGAAGAGGCAAGUGGAAUUCCCGGUGUAGCGGUGAAAUGCGCAGAUAUCGGGAGGAACACCAAUGGCGAAGGCAGCUUGCUGGGACGGUACUGACGCUGAGACGCGAAAGCGUGGGGAGCGAACAGG